UUUUAAGAUCUUUUAAGACCUUAAAAUUUUUAAGAACCUUGGUAAUAUUUAAGGUUCUUAAAAAUUAAUUAUUAAAAUUUUAUGGGUAAUAGGAAUUCACAUUAAAGUUUUAUAUUUAAAUCUUUAACACAUAUUAUCUAAUUAAUGAAACUACUUUAGAUAAUUAUACAUGUUUAGUUAAAUAUAUUUGGAAGCUCAUAUUACACAUGCUACAAAAGUAUUCAAAGACCAUGUUUUACAUUUAAUAGCAAGGUUUAAUACAAAAAAAAAGAAAAAAAAGAAAAAAAAAGAGAUAAUUCUUUAGAUUUUACAUAAAUACCUUAAAAAUUGAGAACCACUUUCAGAAAAUUUGUAACAUUUUUGAUAGCUUUUAGGUUUGUGAAAGAUCUUAGGAUUUCUACAAGAAUGUAAUU
RNAcentral lists this long non-coding RNA (413 nucleotides) under Physcomitrium patens. RNAcentral describes it as "long non-coding RNA (PPAT_LNC004840)". Lineage: Eukaryota; Viridiplantae; Streptophyta; Bryopsida; Funariales; Funariaceae. The record is from RNAcentral.